This 441-nucleotide ribosomal RNA is filed under the name uncultured bacterium. RNAcentral's name for it is "bacterial SSU rRNA". It matches the Rfam family "Bacterial small subunit ribosomal RNA", at positions 29 to 506 of the family's 1533-position model. The record is from RNAcentral.
AUGAACGCUGGCGGUGUGCCUAAUACAUGCAAGUCGUGCGGAAAGGCUCUUCGGAGUACUCGAGCGGCGGACGGCUGAGUAACGCGUGGGAACGUGCCCCAAAGUGAGGGAUAAGCACCGGAAACGGUGUCUAAUACCGCAUAUGGUCUUCGGAUUAAAGUAUUUAUACGCUUUGGGAGCGGCCUGCGUACGAUUAGAUAGUUGGUGAGGUAAAGGCUCACCAAGUCUACGAUCGUUAACUGGUCUGAGAGGAUGAUCAGUCAGACUGGAACUGAGACACGGUCCAGACUCCUACGGGAGGCAGCAGUAAGGAAUCUUCCACAAUGGGGGCAACCCUGAUGGAGCAACACCGCGUGCAGGAUGAAGGCCUUCGGGUCGUAAACUGCUUUUAUAAGUGAGGAAUAUGACGGUAACUUAUGAAUAAGGGUCGGCUAACUACGU